This 278-nucleotide ribosomal RNA is filed under the name uncultured bacterium. RNAcentral's name for it is "partial 16S ribosomal RNA". It matches the Rfam family "Bacterial small subunit ribosomal RNA", at positions 338 to 627 of the family's 1533-position model. The record is from RNAcentral.
CCUACGGGGCGCAGCAGUCGAGAAUCAUUCACAAUGGGGGAAACCCUGAUGGUGCGACGCCGCGUGGGGGAAUGAAGGUCUUCGGAUUGUAAACCCCUGUCAUGUGGGAGCAAAUUAAAAAGAUAGUACCACAAGAGGAAGAGACGGCUAACUCUGUGCCAGCAGCCGCGGUAAUACAGAGGUCUCAAGCGUUGUUCGGAAUCACUGGGUGUAAAGGGUGCGUAGGCGGCACGCCAAGUCAGUUGUGAAACCCGUAGGCUCAACCUACGGCUUGCAAU